CUGAGAUUAUAGCCAACACACCCAGCUCUGUCCUCUGAUCUUUUUUCUUUUUUUGUGGGGCCUUAUGAUAACCUGGCAGCUUUUGCUUUUGAAUGUUGGGAGCCCCAAGCUGCCAUGUCUGGCCACACUGCUAGAAAGGUGUCGCGAGGUGGCAAAAUUGUAAUGCAUGCAGUCGAGGGGAGAAAUAAAGAAUAUCCACGCACUUCUGCCCCUUUCAAUGCUUUAUUCACUCAAAUUACUUAGAACAGUUUUACUCUAUAGGUUCUUAAUGCUAGGCACAGCAGUAGACAUAAUCAAUUCACAGCAAACAAUUCUAGAUUAAUUCUAAGCACUGCAAAACACACGUAAUCAUAAUAGGCUAAUGACAGACAUUUCCUCUGCAUGCUAAAUUCAAAUGUCAGAUCAAAAGUCUUAAGCCUUAGGCUUUAAGUCCAGCUGAUGACACUCACUUAGACUGCAGUGACCAGGUCUGGAACCAAGGCAGGCUUUUCCUGGCAUGGAGUGGAAGACCGGUUGAGGAGAGGUUUUAGGGAGAAGUUGUGGCUCUCACCAAGGUCCAGACGAGGCGGUAGAAUUUGAGAGCAGUAAGGAUCAUGCAGAGGAUUAGGAAACGAUGACAAGUGAUGGGAUGUCAGGUCCUCAUCAGGCUCUCCAGUUCGAGUGCAUCCUUAAUUUGGCUGGCUGAAUUCCUGUUCAUUUGCUCUAUUAUUUAUACUAAAUUUGGGGGCUUUUGACCCCCCUUUCAAUCCUUAUCAGCUACCUCUGGAUUUCUCAGUGACAUCAUUUACCCUGGGGUCAGAAACCCUGGACUGGUGGUCUCCACCCUGAUCUUCUUGCCUUUCCCUCUGUUCAGGCGAGGAUAGCCUGCCAGGGGCUUCACUCUGUUUGUCAGAGUGAGAGGAAGUAACUUGUUUGA
Molecule: long non-coding RNA, 916 nt
Filed under: Marmota monax (woodchuck)
Lineage: Eukaryota; Metazoa; Chordata; Mammalia; Rodentia; Sciuridae
Source: RNAcentral